This 417-nucleotide ribosomal RNA is filed under the name Dietzia psychralcaliphila. Its description in RNAcentral is "bacterial SSU rRNA". It matches the Rfam family "Bacterial small subunit ribosomal RNA", at positions 372 to 796 of the family's 1533-position model. Lineage: Bacteria; Bacillati; Actinomycetota; Actinomycetes; Mycobacteriales; Dietziaceae. The record is from RNAcentral.
UGGGUAAAGCCUGAUGCAGCGACGCCGCGUGGGGGAUGACGGUCUUCGGAUUGUAAACUCCUUUCAGUAGGGACGAAGCGAAAGUGACGGUACCUGCAGAAGAAGCACCGGCCAACUACGUGCCAGCAGCCGCGGUAAUACGUAGGGUGCAAGCGUUGUCCGGAAUUACUGGGCGUAAAGAGCUCGUAGGCGGUUUGUCACGUCGUCUGUGAAAUCCUCCAGCUCAACAUGGGGGCGUGCAGGCUAUACGGGCAGACUUGAGUACUACAGGGGAGACUGGAAUUCCUGGUGUAGCAGGUGAAAUGCGCAGAUAUCAGGAGGGAACACCGGUGGCUAAAGGCGGGUCUCUUGGGUAGUAACUGACGCUGAGGAGCGAAAGCAUUGGGGAGCAAACAGGAUUACAUACCCUUGUAGUCC